RNAcentral lists this ribosomal RNA (511 nucleotides) under uncultured bacterium. RNAcentral describes it as "bacterial SSU rRNA". It matches the Rfam family "Bacterial small subunit ribosomal RNA", at positions 501 to 1013 of the family's 1533-position model. The record is from RNAcentral.
CUACGUGCCAGCAGCCGCGGUAACACGUAAGGGGCGAGCGUUGUUCGGAAUUAUUGGGCGUAAAGGGUAUGUAGGCGGUUAGGUAAGCCUGGUGUGAAAUCUACGAGCUCAACUCGUAAACUGCAUUGGGUACUGCUUGACUUGAAUCACGGAGGGGAAACCGGAAUUCCAAGUGUAGGGGUGGAAUCUGUAGAUAUUUGGAAGAACACCGGUGGCGAAGGCGGGUUUCUGGCCGAUGAUUGACGCUGAUAUACGAAGGUGCGGGGAGCAAACAGGAUUAGAUACCCUGGUAGUCCGCACAGUAAACGAUGUACACUAGGUGUCGGGGCAAGAGCUUCGGUGCCGACGCAAACGCAUUAAGUGUACCGCCUGGGAAGUAUGCCCGCAAGGGUGAAACUCAAAGGAAUUGACGGGGGCCCACACAAGCGGUGGAGCAUGUGGUUUAAUUCGAUGAUACGCGAGAAACCUUACCUGGGUUUGACAUCAAGAGCAAUGACAUAGAGAUAGGCAG